GGAGUUAUUGCCCUUUAUAGUAAAUUUUUAACCAUUUUUCGUAAAUCUUAGUUAUCUUUUACAAAAAUCUUCUCCUCUGAAACUACUGGGCCAAAUUAAUUCAAACUUGGCCACAAUCAUCUUUGAGGUACCUUGUUUGGAAAUGUGUCCGAUGACCUGGCCAUCCAACCAAGAUGGCCACCACGGCUAAAAAUAGAACAGGGGUAAAAUGUAGUUUUUUGCUUACAACUCUGAAACCCAAAUCAUUUAGAGGAAAUCUGACAAGGAGUUAAAUUGUUAAUCAAGUCAAUAUAUAUCUGCCCUGAAAUAUUCAAAUGAAUUGGACAACCGGUUGUUGGGUUGCUGCCCUCCAAUUGGUAAUUUUUAAAGAAAUUUUGCUGUUUUUGGUUAUUAUCUUGAAUACUAUUAUAGAUAGCGAUAAACUGUAAACAGCAAUAAUGUUCAUCAAAGUAAGAUCUACAAAUAAGUCCACAUGACCUAAAUGGUCAAUUGACCCCUUAAGGAGUUAUUGCCCUUUAUAGUCAAUUUUUAACAAUUUUCAUUAAUUUGGUAAAUUUAUGUAAAUUUUUACCAAAUAUUUUUCUCUGUUACUAAUGGGCAAAGUUCAUUAUAGAUAUAAUUGUAAGAAGCAAGAAUGUUCAGUAAAGUAAGAACUUCAAACACAUCACCAUCACCAAAAUACAAUUUUGUCAUGAAUCCAUUUGUGUCCUUUGUUAAAUAUGCACAUAGACCAAGGUGAGCGACACAGGCUCUUUAGAGCCUCUAGUUUUUAUUGCCAAAUAACAUAAUAUAUUUUACGUUUAAAAUUUACCUUUUUUCUACCCCUCCCUCCCUUAAAUAAGAUGAUUUUGUCCCAUUGUGUCUAUGAUUAUUCUCUCAAACUUAUUUU
Molecule: long non-coding RNA, 889 nt
Filed under: Mytilus galloprovincialis (Mediterranean mussel)
Lineage: Eukaryota; Metazoa; Mollusca; Bivalvia; Mytilida; Mytilidae
Source: RNAcentral